This 18-nucleotide small nuclear RNA is filed under the name Arabidopsis thaliana (thale cress). RNAcentral describes it as "snRNA_02095". Lineage: Eukaryota; Viridiplantae; Streptophyta; Magnoliopsida; Brassicales; Brassicaceae. The record is from RNAcentral.
CUGCAGGAAGCGCAAUGC